Molecule: ribosomal RNA, 301 nt
Filed under: uncultured bacterium
Lineage: Bacteria
Description: partial 16S ribosomal RNA
Rfam family: Bacterial small subunit ribosomal RNA
Source: RNAcentral
CAGCCGCCGCGGGAAUACAGAGGGUGCAAGCGUUAAUCGGAAUUACUGGGCGUAAAGCGCGCGUAGGUGGUUUGUUAAGUUGGAUGUGAAAGCCCCGGGCUCAACCUGGGAACUGCAUCCAAAACUGGCAAGCUAGAGUACGGUAGAGGGUGGUGGAAUUUCCUGUGUAGCAGUGAAAUGCGUAGAUAUAGGAAGGAACACCAGUGGCGAAGGCGACCACCUGGACUGAUACUGACACUGAGGUGCGAAAGCGUGGGGAGCAAACAGGAUUAGAGACCCCUGUAGUCCCUGUCUCUUAUAC